UACGUAGGCAGCAAGCGUUGUUCGGAAUUACUGGGCGUAAAGAGUGUGUAGGCGGUGCUCCAAGUCUGGUGUGAAAUCUCCCGGCUUAACUGGGAGGGUGCAUUAGAAACUGGAAUGCUAGAGGAUGGGAGAGGUAAGCGGAAUUCCUGGUGUAGCGGUGAAAUGCGUAGAUAUCUGGAGGAACACCGGUGGCGAAGGCGGCAUCCUGGACCGAUACUGACGCUGAGGAGCGAAAGCCAGGGGAGCAAACGGG
RNAcentral lists this ribosomal RNA (253 nucleotides) under uncultured bacterium. Its description in RNAcentral is "partial 16S ribosomal RNA". It matches the Rfam family "Bacterial small subunit ribosomal RNA", at positions 524 to 776 of the family's 1533-position model. The record is from RNAcentral.